CCUUCUGCCCCCUUGCUUCCCUACUCCUACGGGAGGCAGCAGUGGGGAAUAUUGCACAAUGGGCGCAAGCUUGAUGGCAGCGACGCCGGGUGAGGGAUGACGGCCUUCGGGUUGUAAACCUCUUUCAGUAGGGAAGAAGCGAAAGUGACGGUACCUGCAGAAGAAGCGCCGGCUAACUACGUGCCAGCAGCCGCGGUAAUACGUAGGGCGCAAGCGUUAUCCGGAAUUAUUGGGCGUAAAGAGCUCGUAGGCGGUUUGUCGCGUCUGCCGUGAAAGUCCGGGGCUCAACUCCGGAUCUGCGGUGGGUACGGGCAGACUAGAGUGAUGUAGGGGAGACUGGAAUUCCUGGUGUAGCGGUGAAAUGCGCAGAUAUCAGGAGGAACACCGAUGGCGAAGGCAGGUCUCUGGGCAUUAACUGACGCUGAGGAGCGAAAGCAUGGGGAGCGAACAGGAUUAGAUACCCUGGUAGUCCAUGCCGUAAACGUUGGGCACUAGGUGUGGGGGACAUUCCACGUUUUCCGCGCCGUAGCUAACGCAUUAAGUGCCCCGCCUGGGGAGUACGGCCGCAAGGCUAAAACUCAAAGGAAUUGACGGGGGCCCGCACAAGCGGCGGAGCAUGCGUAAAGUUUGAUGCAACGCGAAGAACCUUACCAAGGCUUGACAUGAACCGGACCGCUGCAGAAUAUGUGUUCCCCCUU
RNAcentral lists this ribosomal RNA (698 nucleotides) under Arthrobacter sp. RNAcentral's name for it is "bacterial SSU rRNA". It matches the Rfam family "Bacterial small subunit ribosomal RNA", at positions 319 to 1021 of the family's 1533-position model. The record is from RNAcentral. Lineage: Bacteria; Bacillati; Actinomycetota; Actinomycetes; Micrococcales; Micrococcaceae.